AUAGGAGCUGUUACUGCAUCAAUGCCCCCUGGAGGUUGUGUAACAUUCUUGUGUAAUUUCGGCAAAGUAUAGAAAGUGGCAAUUUUAGGGUGUUGAAUAGCCAAAAAAGCAUGUUAUUUUUUGGUUAUCUGACCAGAACUUAAAUACCCAUCUAGGACAGACAAGAUAGUAUUCUGAAAUUGGGAAGUGGGGUCACUUCUGAGUUUCUUGUAAAAGGUGUUGUCAAGCAGUUGUCUAUGACACUCAUGUACAUAAGCUGUCCUAUCCAUGAGUACAACCGACCCACCCUUAUCAGCAGGACGAAUAAGGACUGACGUUCAUCAUUCACAAGUUUUUAUUUCUUGCAAAACUUCAGCUCUCUCUUUAAAUGUACCUAGCUAAUCUAUAAAUACUGUAGCUAGCUAGAUUUAGGGUGGCUAUAGCUUAUUGUAGGGUUGCUCGCUUAAUUUAGAGUGGCUAUAGCCUAUUGUAGGGUCCCUAGCUAGCAUAUUGUAUGUUUGCUAGCUAGCCUAUUCUAAGUGUAAUAGCUAGCCUAUUGUAGCGUCGCUAGGUUAAAACCCCCUAAGGUUGAUGUCCGUGCCCCAGUGGAAAAUAUCAUUAGAAUAAUACAAAAAUCCUCAUCAAAAUCUGUCAGUUUAAGUAUGUUUUAUUGCAUUUGGAUGCGUCUCAAUCCACCUCAUCAACCUAUGUCAUACUUUCACAUCCGUGGUGAAAGUUGACAGAGCUAGAGAGGUAUUUGUUAGACCAUUAGACAUCCUGAAAAUUGGUCUUCUCACAACAUCACCUGUGACCUGCAAACUAUUAUAACCCCUUGAUGGAACGCUGACACCGAUGAGACUCUCACAAACACGAAUGCUUUCUUCGUUUUGCUCUACAGCCCAUCUGCCAACUUCUGUCUGUAGCAUCCGAGCAGUUUGGGCUACACACUGAUAUGACACCUCUGUGGAAAGGUGAGACUCACACGGACAUUUCCGUUGUUUUGCUCUAGAAUGCUCACAAGACUCGUCUGAAGGUCCCCUCGUACCAGUUGAAAAAAUGAAUGGAAAUCUAUAUGGAGACUGUUUAGUGGCAAAAAUAAGGGGUUAAAUACAUGUAUUUUUUUUUACUGAUCAUUCUAAUAUAUCUCUCAGAUAUUGGACAGACACUUCAGAACAAACUACCUUUAGAUUUUUUAGGGGAGGGGGGGUACUAUCUGUUCCAUGUAGUGGAUCUGUUAUUCAAUGCAUUUGUAUGGGCUAAUAGCUAAAUAAAAAUGUUCAUCAAAUAAUUGUAAUACAGGGCUUAGACUAUUAUGGGUUAUUGUAGAGUGGCUAGCUAGCCUAUUGUAGGUAUCCUAGCAAGCCUAUUGUAGCUUCCCUAGCUAGCCUAUUUUAGGGUAACUAGGUUGAUGUAGAGUGGCUAGGUGGCCUAUUGUAGAGUGGCUAGGUAGCCUAUUGUAGAGUGGCUAGGUGGCCUAUUGUAGAGUGGCUAGGUGGCCUAUUGUAGAGUGGCUAGGUGGCCUAUUGUAGAGUGGCUAGGUGGCCUAUUGUAGAGUGGCUAGGUGGCCUAUUGUAGAGUGGCUAGGUGGCCUAUUGUAGAGUGGCUAGGUGGCCUAUUGUAGAGUGGCUAGGUGGCCUAUUGUAGAGUGGCUAGGUGGCCUAUUGUAGAGUGGCUAGGUGGCCUAUUGUAGAGUGGCUAGGUGGCCUAUUGUAGAGUGGCUAGGUGGCCUAUUGUAGAGUGGCUAGGUGGCCUAUUGUAGAGUGGCUAGGUGGCCUAUUGUAGAGUGGCUAGGUGGCCUAUUGUAGAGUGGCUAGGUGGCCUAUUGUAGAGUGGCUAGGUGGCCUAUUGUAGAGUGGCUAGGUGGCCUAUUGUAG
This is a long non-coding RNA of Oncorhynchus gorbuscha (pink salmon), 1853 nucleotides long. RefSeq lists it as uncharacterized. The record is from RefSeq and is a predicted model, not a curated record. NCBI's taxonomy places the organism in Eukaryota, Metazoa, Chordata, Actinopteri, Salmoniformes, Salmonidae. The transcript is spliced from 3 exons.